Molecule: non-coding RNA, 78 nt
Organism: Arabis alpina (gray rockcress)
Lineage: Eukaryota; Viridiplantae; Streptophyta; Magnoliopsida; Brassicales; Brassicaceae
Source: Rfam
UUGUGUAUCCCUUCAUACGCUCCCAUGCAUCAUACAAACUCUCUUCUUUGCCUUGCUCGAAUCUAGUGAUAUCAUUCC